Small nuclear RNA from Ursus americanus (American black bear), 104 nucleotides. The record is from Ensembl. Lineage: Eukaryota; Metazoa; Chordata; Mammalia; Carnivora; Ursidae.
AUGCUCGCUUCAGCACAUAUACUAAACUUGGAAUGAUACAAAGAGGAUUAGGAUGGCCUCUGUGGAAGGAUGAUACACAAAUUCAUAAAAUUAAUUUCAUUAUG